Long non-coding RNA from Eurytemora carolleeae, 680 nucleotides. RefSeq lists it as uncharacterized. The record is from RefSeq and is a predicted model, not a curated record. The transcript is spliced from 2 exons. NCBI's taxonomy places the organism in Eukaryota, Metazoa, Arthropoda, Copepoda, Calanoida, Temoridae.
UUAUUGCCAAGAAAAUAUUAAAGUUUUAAACAAUAUGAAUUUAUCAGCAUUUACAAUAAUGUUAAUGUAUAUAAUGCAGAUACUGUAAUUUGACCUGUAGGGCAGGUGUUUAAAGAGUUCCAGGCUGUAAUUUUUCUUACCAUUGUUGGAACAUGUUUUAAAUAUUUUGAAUUAUUUUAUUAGACUUUUUUUUGAUCAAUUUGCAUGUUUUUGAUGCUAAGUUGUUAAAUAAGCAAUUCAAGAUCAGAUAUCUUUAUAUUUUUAACUCUGCAUACAUGUUAAAAAUUUAUUUGCUUGAUUGAAAAAUGUAAAAAAAACCUCUUAACUAAAGACUGUUAAGAAUUAUUGCUUCGGGUCUUUUAUAUCUCGAAUUUUCUACGCCUAAAAGGAAACAUUGGCAACAAAACAAUUCUUAUGUUUUUCUUGAUUGUUAAGUACACCCCUUUAUAACCAGGGGCGUAUACAGGAAUAUUCUCUAAAGGAGGGGAGGCUUAACCUUUCUAGACAUUCCAACCCCUUGUUACAGGUUCAAUUCCUCAAAAAUCAUAGCUUUUACUUUUCCAGGGGAGGGAAACAACCCUUAUAGCCCCCCCCCCCCCUGUAUACGCUUCUAUAUAACCAUCUGUUUUUGUAUAAAUGUAAAAAGCUCAAUUAUCUGAAAUAUAAUUAUAAUUCUUUAA